Long non-coding RNA from Jaculus jaculus (lesser Egyptian jerboa), 208 nucleotides. RefSeq lists it as uncharacterized. The transcript has 3 exons. The record is from RefSeq and is a predicted model, not a curated record. NCBI's taxonomy places the organism in Eukaryota, Metazoa, Chordata, Mammalia, Rodentia, Dipodidae.
GGAUGAGCCAUGUAUUGCAGUGGAGACCCAGUGGAGAUGCCGGGACCACGAGAUGGCUGCUAAUGGAAGCUUCCCACCACAAUGAGGUUUCCCAGGACUGAAACAUCACAGAAACCGAAACACCCAGCACAGAGCUAUUUCUGAGCAAGAUUCCACGAAGAGAAACUGAUUAGGACACACAAAGAUCUAUCAAAAUGCAAACUUUCAG